CCUACGGGUGGCUGCAGUGGGGAAUAUUGGACAAUGGGGGCAACCCUGAUCCAGCCAUGCCGCGUGUGUGAAGAAGGCCCUCGGGUUGUAAAGCACUUUCAGUGAGGAAGAACGCCUGGUGGUUAAUACCCAUCAGGAAAGACAUCACUCACAGAAGAAGCACCGGCUAACUCCGUGCCAGCAGCCGCGGUAAUACGGAGGGUGCGAGCGUUAAUCGGAAUUACUGGGCGUAAAGCGCGCGUAGGUGGCUUGAUAAGCCGGUUGUGAAAGCCCCGGGCUCAACCUGGGAACGGCAUCCGGAACUGUCAAGCUAGAGUGCAGGAGAGGAAGGUAGAAUUCCCGGUGUAGCGGUGAAAUGCGUAGAGAUCGGGAGGAAUACCAGUGGCGAAGGCGGCCUUCUGGACUGACACUGACACUGAGGUGCGAAAGCGUGGGUAGCAAACAGGAUUAGAUACCCUGG
RNAcentral lists this ribosomal RNA (460 nucleotides) under Vreelandella stevensii. Its description in RNAcentral is "partial 16S ribosomal RNA". It matches the Rfam family "Bacterial small subunit ribosomal RNA", at positions 338 to 790 of the family's 1533-position model. The record is from RNAcentral. Lineage: Bacteria; Pseudomonadati; Pseudomonadota; Gammaproteobacteria; Oceanospirillales; Halomonadaceae.